GACGAACGCUGGCGGCGUGCCUAACACAUGCAAGUCGAACGGGCCUGUGCGGAAACCUAGUGAAGCACAGGCCAGUGGCGGACGGGUGAGUAACGCGUGGGCAACCUGCCGUGUACCGGGGGAUAACACUUAGAAAUAGGUGCUAAUACCGCAUAAGCGCACAGCGCCGCAUGGCGCAGUGUGAAAACUUGGGGGUUUACCCCCUGGGGUACACGAUGGGCCCGCGUCUGAUUAGCUUGUUGGCGGGGCAGCGGCCCACCAAGGCGACGAUCAGUAGCCGGCCUGAGAGGGCGGACGGCCACAUUGGGACUGAGACACGGCCCAA
RNAcentral lists this ribosomal RNA (325 nucleotides) under uncultured bacterium. RNAcentral describes it as "bacterial SSU rRNA". It matches the Rfam family "Bacterial small subunit ribosomal RNA", at positions 28 to 334 of the family's 1533-position model. The record is from RNAcentral.